CCGUUGUAGCAAUACGAUGGAAAGUCUAGUGGCGAACGGGUGCUUAACACGUGGGCAACCUGCCGAGAAGUGGGGGAUAGCUCGCCGAAAGGCGAAUUAAUACCGCAUGUGAUUAGAGUGGACAUCCAUUCGAAAUUAAAGUCGGGGCAACCUGACGCUUCUUGUGGGGCCCGCGGCCUAUCAGCUAGUUGGUGAGGUAAAGGCUCACCAAGGCUUUGACGGGUAGCUGGUCUGAGAGGACGACCAGCCACACUGGGACUGAGACACGGCCCAGACACCUACGGGUGGCAGCAGUCGAGAAUUUUUGACAAUGGGGGAAACCCUGAUCGAGCGACGCCGCGUGGAGGAUGAAGGUCUUCGGAUUGUAAACUCCUGUCAUUGGGGAACAAUGCGUGACGCUUAACUGCCGUUGCGUUGAUAGUACCCGAAGAGGAAGAGACGGCUAACUCUGUGCCAGCAGCCGCGGUAAUACAGAGGUCUCAAGCGUUGUUCGGAUUCAUUGGGCGUAAAGGGUGCGUAGGCGGCGCGGUAAGUCGGGUGUGAAAUCUCGGAGCUUAACUCCGAAACUGCAUUCGAUACUGCCGUGCUUGAGGACUGGAGAGGAGACUGGAAUUCUCGGUGUAGCA
Molecule: ribosomal RNA, 626 nt
Filed under: uncultured Verrucomicrobiota bacterium
Lineage: Bacteria; Pseudomonadati; Verrucomicrobiota
Description: bacterial SSU rRNA
Rfam family: Bacterial small subunit ribosomal RNA
Source: RNAcentral